GCGGAUGUGGUGGAAUUGGUAGACACGCUACCUUGAGGUGGUAGUGGGGCAACCCGUGAAGGUUCGAGUCCUUUCAUCCGCACCA
RNAcentral lists this transfer RNA (85 nucleotides) under Steroidobacteraceae bacterium. RNAcentral's name for it is "tRNA-Leu". It matches the Rfam family "tRNA". Rfam says of the family: Transfer RNA (tRNA) molecules are approximately 80 nucleotides in length. Their secondary structure includes four short double-helical elements and three loops (D, anti-codon, and T loops). Further hydrogen bonds mediate the characteristic L-shaped molecular structure. tRNAs have two regions of fundamental functional importance: the anti-codon, which is responsible for specific mRNA codon recognition, and the 3' end, to which the tRNAs corresponding amino acid is attached (by aminoacyl-tRNA synthetases). tRNAs cope with the degeneracy of the genetic code in two manners: having more than one tRNA (with a specific anti-codon) for a particular amino acid; and 'wobble' base-pairing, i.e. permitting non-standard base-pairing at the 3rd anti-codon position. Lineage: Bacteria; Pseudomonadati; Pseudomonadota; Gammaproteobacteria; Steroidobacterales; Steroidobacteraceae. The record is from RNAcentral.